GAUUUCCUUGUCCUUUUUUUUUUUCUUUGCUUCUACAUUUGGAACUUGAAAAGUAGCAAUUUUCCCUUUAAAUGAGUCAUCAAGGGGCUAUCAUACUAAAAUAACUUUGUGGGUAAAUCAGCUCGUAAGUUUUAUUUUUAGGAGCAAUUAAGUCCCAAAAUCUGACUAAAAUCUCAAAUACAUGAGUUCAAUGCAGUCAGAUUUAAUUGCCC
RNAcentral lists this unclassified non-coding RNA (212 nucleotides) under Hevea brasiliensis (rubber tree). Lineage: Eukaryota; Viridiplantae; Streptophyta; Magnoliopsida; Malpighiales; Euphorbiaceae. The record is from RNAcentral.